Long non-coding RNA from Salvelinus namaycush (lake trout), 326 nucleotides. RefSeq lists it as uncharacterized. NCBI's taxonomy places the organism in Eukaryota, Metazoa, Chordata, Actinopteri, Salmoniformes, Salmonidae. The record is from RefSeq and is a predicted model, not a curated record. The transcript is spliced from 5 exons.
UGUGUGUUGAAUAAUGAAUAAAAGCCCAGGGAUUUGGAGUGUUGAAGUAAUUAGAGAUGGAUCUUUACCAAGGAAGAGCAGCCAGAGGAGAGCAGAGCAGACACAGGAACAGGGAACAGGACAAGCUGCACCAAAGUGGAGGAGAAAAGAGAGGAGAGGGGUUGGAAGAGCCAAUUGGAAGCGUGGACACCAGGGUUAACAUCCAUACUGGGUUGGCGCCCCCCCUUGGGUUGUGCCGUGGGGGAGAUCUUCGUGGGCUGUACUCGGCCUUCUCUCAGGAUAGUAGGACCUGAGCACUAGGACCAUGCCUCAGGACUACCUGGCCU